Paramuricea clavata is the source of this 1709-nucleotide non-coding RNA. Lineage: Eukaryota; Metazoa; Cnidaria; Anthozoa; Malacalcyonacea; Plexauridae. The record is from the annotation of a GenBank genome assembly.
UUAAAUGUGCAAUAUGGGCGCUGAUAGUUUUAAAUAAGUUUAGUAUAUCAGUAGCCUCAUGGGGAUACUUUCAGCGACAGCUCCCAAUGCAAUUGUAGUUUUAGAAUAUACAAAAUUUGGUUGCUGGUGAAAGAAUUUAAUUUCGAGUUGUCUCGUGUAGCAUCACAAUAAAUAAAUAAAUUGUACCAGUUCCACGAGGCACGGCGAAGGAAGUGACAAUGAAUUGUUUCUCUCGUAAAAACCUUGUUCUAAUCCACAUUUUUGAGUAACGUGCAGUGUUGGUAUGUUAGAUGAAGAAUUAGGCCAAAUCGUAUUAGUGCCGUUAUUGAAAACAAAUAAAACAAAAAAAAACAAAACACGCUAAGACAAAAAAAAAACAAAGGCCUAAUGUAACGUUGUUUGGCCUAAUUGUUGAGCAAACCUAUUAACCCGCUAGACCCUACGCAGUUCUUCGCGAUCGUAUUCAAUUUGAAACUUUACACUAUCCUUGGAUCCCUAGUUAUACUGACUGUUAUCAUUCCAGGUAAAGUAAAAUAAAUUGAGUUCACUGGUUUAUGCACAUGUAAUGACUAAUGGGACAAAUUAAUGUGCGAUUUCAGAAAAAAAUGCAAAACUAAAGCGCAGUUAUGGCCGUUUUCCACUUCAACUAUCGUAACAUAUCGUAGCAUUUUCUUUUGUGUCGAAGUCAUUAGUUCCACUCAGGCUAGUGCUCUGGAAACAAAAAAAUACGCUAUACUUCAGUAGGAUACGGUUGAGGUGGAAUACGGCUUUAUUCUGAUUUCUGUGUUUAUUUUUCUCGCCGCCCUUGCCGCCCGCGAGCGAAUAAAGCCUGCUACGCAAUAGCGUAUACCCAAUGCUCUCGACUACAGUGCCAGGCUAACGUGUUUACAGCUCGAACGGGAAACCCGAGGCCGCUUUUUCAUAUUUUUUGAUGUUCACAAACUAAACCAAAACCAAUCACCACCGGGUUAUUUUGACUGAACCUUUUCCGGGUAUGAACUUAUGAUAUAGCCAUAGGUCUAAAUAACCCGCUGGUGAUUGGUUUUGGCUUAGUUUGAAAAAUACGCAAAAGCGGUUUGCCUGUUCGAGCUGUAAUAUUCCUUCGAUCCUGAAUUUGCCUUUUCCAAAUGUUCCUCAAACGUGCGUAAAAAUAAUAGAACAUUCGAUCGUACUUUACGCCAAAUUUGAGCAUAGUAAACUAUUUCACAAUCUCAAAUGACAGAUUAGGAAGAUAAUGAUUCCUAAGUUUUCCCCCCAUAACGUAUGUGUGAAAAAUUAAACUUAAUAAUAAUAAUCAUUUAUUUAAUCACGAUAUUAAAUACAGCACAGCUGAAGUGGUCCUCAUGCAAUUUUCUUGCUAAAGCGAAUGUUCCUUAGGAUCCCGAGAUUCCGCUCUUUCCUUGGUCUGGACAGGAUCUCCAACCCACCGCCUUUGCUAAAUAUGUAAUAUUGACAUAACCUGUUGCAUCAAAUAAAUUAUGUAUUAUAUGCGUCAUGCAUGAACUGCAUGUUGUGGUUAUUUGCAAUUUAUACAAGGUUUCCUCAACAUUUCCACUCGAUUUUAGGCGGCUUUUAAUUUCUUUCUAAUCGAGUGCUAUUAGGUUUCUAAUUGAGUGUCAUUAAUUUCAUCACUAAUUGAGAAGCAUUAGCCAUUAAAGAUACAUAAUUGUCAGGUUAUCUGUUGGAUCAUGCAAGAGCAUCUUUGAGGC